GACGAACGCUGGCGGCGUGCUUAACACAUGCAAGUCGAGCGGUAAGGCCCUUUCGGGGGUACACGAGCGGCGAACGGGUGAGUAACACGUGGGUGACCUGCCCUCAGCUCUGGGAUAAGCCUGGGAAACCGGGUACUAAUACCGGGUAUGACUCCAUGACGCAUGUUGUGGGGUGGAAAGCCUUGUGCGGCUGAGGAUGGGCCCGCGGCCUAUCAGCUUGUUGGUGGGGUGAUGGCCACCAAGGCGACGACGGGUA
Molecule: ribosomal RNA, 256 nt
Filed under: uncultured bacterium
Lineage: Bacteria
Description: partial 16S ribosomal RNA
Rfam family: Bacterial small subunit ribosomal RNA
Source: RNAcentral